Molecule: ribosomal RNA, 463 nt
Filed under: uncultured bacterium
Lineage: Bacteria
Description: partial 16S ribosomal RNA
Rfam family: Bacterial small subunit ribosomal RNA
Source: RNAcentral
GACGAACGCUGGCAGCAUGCUUAACACAUGCAAGUCGAACGGGAAGUCGCUGCUUCACCGUGGUAACCAUGGCGGACGGGUGAGUAACACGUGAGGAACUUACCCGCGGGACUGGGAUAACACCAGGAAACUGCUGACAAGACCGGAUAUGGUCGUUAAGCUGCCUAGCUGAGGGAUGAAAGGGGACGCCUGCGGAGAGCCUUGCGUCCGAUUAGCUAGUUGGGGGGGUGGCGGCCCACCAACGCGAAGUUGGGGAGCCGGCCUGAGAGGGUGGACGGCCACAGGGACAGAGAGAUACGGCCGAUACCCCUGGGGGAGGCAGCAGUGGGGAAUAUUGGACAAUGCGGGCAACCCUGGUCCAGCAAUGCGGUGUGCACGAAGACGGUUUUCGUAGUGUAAAGUGCUUGCAGCAGUGAAGGAGGAAGUGACGGUAAUGGGUGAAGAAGCGACGGCUAACUACGUG